This 218-nucleotide unclassified non-coding RNA is filed under the name Hevea brasiliensis (rubber tree). The record is from RNAcentral. Lineage: Eukaryota; Viridiplantae; Streptophyta; Magnoliopsida; Malpighiales; Euphorbiaceae.
CUUGAUGCAUCAGUUUUCCCUUCAGAUGAUGGCGAGGAUGGCGCUUGGGCUGUUCUAACUGAAAAAGCUGGAGUUUGGGCUAUACCUGAGAGGGCAGUUUUACUUGGUGGAGUUGAACCACCGGAGAGAAGUUUGUCACGUAAAGGAAGCUCUAAUGAGAGGUCAUCUCUGGAAGAGAGGAAAAAUUUAUCUUUUUCAGGUAAUGUUGCUCCAAGAAG